Non-coding RNA from Podarcis lilfordi (Lilford's wall lizard), 71 nucleotides. The record is from the annotation of a GenBank genome assembly. Lineage: Eukaryota; Metazoa; Chordata; Lepidosauria; Squamata; Lacertidae.
GCAAAUAGCUCAGUAUGGAGAGCAUGAGACUCUUAAUUUCAUCAUGGUGGGUUCGAGCCCCAUGUUGGGCU